Molecule: non-coding RNA, 72 nt
Organism: Nippostrongylus brasiliensis
Lineage: Eukaryota; Metazoa; Nematoda; Chromadorea; Rhabditida; Heligmosomidae
Source: Rfam
AGAUCGGUAGCACAGUGGUCAGUGCACUCUGCCGGAAACGGAAAGAUGCGGGUUCAAAACCAGUCCGAUGUC